This 410-nucleotide long non-coding RNA is filed under the name Citrus maxima (pomelo). RNAcentral describes it as "long non-coding RNA (CMAX_LNC002700)". The record is from RNAcentral. Lineage: Eukaryota; Viridiplantae; Streptophyta; Magnoliopsida; Sapindales; Rutaceae.
AGAAAAAAUGGAAAACCAAUCAACAUACACCUUUAACAAACAUAUCAACAUGUAAAUAAAAUUUCUAUAUCUAGAAAAACUUAAAUAGGACAUUUAAAAAUACUUUAUUUUACUCAAAUUAAUAUCAUAAUAAAAAUAUAAAAGACAAGUUUAGUAUAUUCCACUCACAACGAUGAUGGUCAAGCUCAACUAUCGUUGACGUCAGUGGCUUGACUCACGUUCGCGGCUCCUCCUAAAUCAUGGAAAUGACAUAAUUAAUUUCCAAACGUGUGAAAUACAACUAACUUUAUGAGAUAUAGCUCGCAAUGAAUAUUUACCCCAUAACAUACAACUCCUGAAACCAUACUUGUAAGUUGAAAAUUAAUAUAACACCCUCAAAGCCAUAAAUUACAACUUAUGCGCAAAAUUCC